GCUACUGGGAAGAGGAACUGAUAAAUAGAAUCGUAAUCACAUGAGAAGAUUAGCAUGGCCCCUGCGCAAGGAUGACACGCAAACUUUCACAUGGUAUUUUU
This 101-nucleotide small nuclear RNA is filed under the name Ancylostoma duodenale. Lineage: Eukaryota; Metazoa; Nematoda; Chromadorea; Rhabditida; Ancylostomatidae. The record is from RNAcentral.